Molecule: RNase P RNA, 380 nt
Filed under: Chitinophagales bacterium
Lineage: Bacteria; Pseudomonadati; Bacteroidota; Chitinophagia; Chitinophagales
Description: RNase P RNA component class A
Rfam family: Bacterial RNase P class A
About the family: Ribonuclease P (RNase P) is a ubiquitous endoribonuclease, found in archaea, bacteria and eukarya as well as chloroplasts and mitochondria. Its best characterised activity is the generation of mature 5'-ends of tRNAs by cleaving the 5'-leader elements of precursor-tRNAs.
Source: RNAcentral
CCAUAUACCCGAACUAUCGCUUCUUCAAGCAAUUGAAGGGGAGGAAAGUCCGGACAGCACAGGGCAACCCAUCCCGCUAACGGCGGGACCAUCGGGCAACCGGUGAGAGACAGUGCCACAGAAAAUAACUACCUCAGCAGGUGCAAGCCUGUUGCGGAAAAGGUGAAAACGUGGGGUAAGAGCCCACGGUUCGUUGUGGAAACGCAACGUUCGGGUAAACCUUGGGUGCUGUAAUGCCACGUAUAGUAACCGUAAAAGCGGCUCGCUUGUAUUCCGAAAGGAAUGGGUUACGGGGUAGGCAGCUUGAUUCGCAGAGCAAUCUGCAGAACAGAUAAAUGAUAGUGUAGAAACAGAAUCCGGCUUACGAGGUAUAUGGUUUU